This 110-nucleotide microRNA precursor is filed under the name Prunus persica (peach). RNAcentral's name for it is "pre miRNA MIR159". It matches the Rfam family "MIR319 microRNA precursor family". Lineage: Eukaryota; Viridiplantae; Streptophyta; Magnoliopsida; Rosales; Rosaceae. The record is from RNAcentral.
UUGCAGAAAUGGGUGCUCCUUGCAGCCCAAAACAGAACAGCGUGGCUAUGAGAUGAUGAGAUGCACUUGCUCUAUGUUUUGGACUGAAGGGAGCUCCCAGUUCUUCUGUU